CAAUAGCGUAUAUUAAAGUUGUUGCAGUUAAAAAGCUCGUAGUUGGAUUUGUGGCGUACGGUGUGUUCCGGGCACUUGUUGUCUGAGUAACCUGCUGUUGCCAUCCUUGGGUGGAACCUGUGUGGCAUUAGGUUGUCGUGCAGGGGAUGCCCAUCAUUUACUGUGAAAAAAUUAGAGUGUUCAAAGCAGGCUUAUGCCGUUGAAUAUAUUAGCAUGGAAUAAUGAGAUAGGACUUUUUUGCUAUUUUGUUGGUUUGCGCAAAGAGGUAAUGAUUAAUAGGGACAGUUGGGGGUAUUCGUAUUCCAUUGUCAGAGGUGAAAUUCUUGGAUUUUUGGAAGACGAACUACUGCAAAAGCAUUUACCAAGGAUGUUUUCAUUAA
This 380-nucleotide ribosomal RNA is filed under the name uncultured eukaryote. Its description in RNAcentral is "partial 18S ribosomal RNA". It matches the Rfam family "Eukaryotic small subunit ribosomal RNA", at positions 592 to 976 of the family's 1831-position model. The record is from RNAcentral.